GAUGAAGGAUUGAAUCAUGAGUGCAAACUCUGCAGCCAGACCUUCGACUCUCCUGCCAAACUCCAGUGCCACCUGAUAGAGCACAGCUUUGAAGGGAUGGGAGGCACCUUCAAGUGUCCCGUCUGCUUUACAGUGUUUGUUCAAGCAAACAAGUUGCAGCAGCAUAUCUUUUCUGCCCAUGGACAAGAAGACAAGAUCUAUGACUGUACACAAUGCCCACAGAAGUUUUUCUUCCAAACAGAGCUGCAGAAUCAUACGAUGACCCAACACAGCAGUUAGUUCAAGUACCAUCUCUCAAGGAGGACUUUUGUGGCACAAAAAGGGAACAUGUUUUACUCUUUGCACGAAACUUUCAUUGUUAAUGUAUAUUAUUCAGAAACAUUGUAUUGUACCAUAAAACUUGUAUUAUCAAAACUGUUGGAUGUUCAUGUGUUUGAACUUUUGAGCACCAGAUAGACUCCUUGUAUAUAAAGUGUUGCACAUGCAUUAUGUCGUCUGAUACUAAAAUGGUCUUAUAAAGACAAGUGGACUUGGGCCCUAUUCAGACAAGAUUAAAAAAAGAGAAACAGUGAGCAAAAUGGCUUAAGACAAAGUAUUUUCAAGGAAGACAGAUUAAAACAACUAUGGUUUGGACUUCCUUUUAUUUACAUUUAAGCCUAGAAUUUCUCUUUUGGUAUAUCAACAGUUAAAAUCCAAGUUUAUUUUUUAUUGUCAAAGAUUCUUGCAAACCACGAAGAGAUGUUCUCACAGAACAGAACCCCACAGCUGGAUAAGGCCCAUAUAUAUAUUUGUAAGCCUUGCAAUGUGACAGGUAGCAUCACUAUAUAUGCAAUAGUUGUUAUGUAGACUGUCAAAGAUUUUUUUUCCCGAAUACAUUUGAAGCUUUGAGUGUUCAAGGUUUUCCUUAAUGAUUUCACACAGCCAAAUUCUUGAAUCAGUUGAACUAACCUGUAUGUUACUGUUAUUAAUGUUUACUCUGCGGUCUGAACCUGGAGAUUACUGGAAUUGUUUUCCAAGAGGAAAUAAAUUCAGUUUACCAUUAGG
Castor canadensis (American beaver) is the source of this 1044-nucleotide non-coding RNA. The record is from RefSeq and is a predicted model, not a curated record. NCBI's taxonomy places the organism in Eukaryota, Metazoa, Chordata, Mammalia, Rodentia, Castoridae.